GACGAACGCUGGCGGCGUGCCUAACACAUGCAAGUCGAGCGGAGACUGCAGCAAUGUAAUCUUAGCGGCGGACGGGUGAGUAACGCGUGGGCAACCUACCUUUAUCUGGGGGAUAACACAGGGAAACUUGUGCUAAUACCGCAUAACAUCAUGAAAAGACAUCUUUUUAUGAUUAAAGGAGUAAUCCGGAUAGAGAUGGUCGCGCGUCCGAUUAGCUAGUUGGUGGUGUAACGGACCACCAAGGCGACGAUCGGUAGCAAAACUGAGAGGUUGAUCGGCCACAUUGGGACUGAGACACGGCCCAGACUCCUACGGGAGGCAGCAGUGGGGAAUAUUGCCCAAUGGGGGAAACCCUGACGCAGCAACGCCGCGUGAAGGAUGAAGGUUUUCGGAUCGUAAACUUCUUUGAUGAGGGACGAAUAAAUGACGGUACCUCAAAAACAAGCCACGGCUAACUACGUGCCAGCCGCCGCCGUAA
Molecule: ribosomal RNA, 478 nt
Filed under: uncultured bacterium
Lineage: Bacteria
Description: partial 16S ribosomal RNA
Rfam family: Bacterial small subunit ribosomal RNA
Source: RNAcentral